AACUGUUUCUGGCGGCGAUGUAGUUGAUAGGAAUUUUCGAGGUUAGAAUCUCGAAUAAUUAAAAUAGUGACUCGGUAAGGUUUGGGAAGCUUUUGUUAUUGGGUCGGAGAGUUGAUUCUUAAAAACACCGGUCGGAAUUUAAUGCUUAUACUCUUUGAAAGUUCAAGCGUACACAUUAUACUGGCUCAAAAAAAAAACUAUUUUUUUUUUCGAUCUCCAGCUUCAUGAAAUCAUAGUUUAUAACAUAAUAUUAGACCUCGUGAAAGGAAAUCGCCGUGCGAUUUUUUUAAGCGGUGACGCAUCGAGAUUUUGUAAUUCCCAUUUGAUUAACACGUAAGAAAUCCAAUUCUGACGGUUGGAGGGAGAUAAUAAUUUUUCUAUGCAACGAACGGAACUCUACAUAGUAGCGCUUGACAGUUUAUAUGUUUUCUUCGAAUCCCCGUGUCGGAGAAAUUUUUUAAUCGCACGAUCUUCGAGUGAUUCAACAUUGCGUAAAACGUGGUUUUUCGCCUUUUCGAAAAAUGGGUACCUAGGAUAAACUCCCAGGUUCCUCGACUGGCUCACAUUAAAAUGUUGAAUAAUAUCCGUCAAAUACAUUCGAAGAAAACAUAUAAACUGUCAAGCGCUACUAUAUAGAGUUCCGUUCGUUGCAUAGAAAAAUUAUUAUCUCUCUCCAACCGUCAGAAUUGGAUUUCUUACGUGUUAAUCAAAUGGGAAUUACAAAAUCUCGAUGCGGCACCUCUU
Neodiprion fabricii is the source of this 744-nucleotide long non-coding RNA. RefSeq lists it as uncharacterized. The record is from RefSeq and is a predicted model, not a curated record. The transcript is spliced from 2 exons. Lineage: Eukaryota; Metazoa; Arthropoda; Insecta; Hymenoptera; Diprionidae.